RNAcentral lists this small RNA (85 nucleotides) under Flavobacterium granuli. RNAcentral's name for it is "Flavo-1 RNA". Lineage: Bacteria; Pseudomonadati; Bacteroidota; Flavobacteriia; Flavobacteriales; Flavobacteriaceae. The record is from RNAcentral.
AGUGAACUUCGUUUGAAGCGGCAUCCUUUUUUGUGUGGCUUUUUUUGACCGCGCAAAAAAGAUAUAGCAGAUAGCCCGCCCGCUU